Molecule: ribosomal RNA, 253 nt
Filed under: uncultured bacterium
Lineage: Bacteria
Description: partial 16S ribosomal RNA
Rfam family: Bacterial small subunit ribosomal RNA
Source: RNAcentral
GACGGAGGAUGCAAGCGUUAUCCGGAAUGAUUGGGCGUAAAGCGUCCGCAGGUGGCAGUUCAAGUCUGCUGUCAAAGACCGGGGCCUAACUUCGGAAAGGCAGUGGAAACUGAACAGCUAGAGUAUGGUAGGGGCAGGGGGAAUUCCUGGUGUAGCGGUGAAAUGCGCAGAUAUCAGGAAGAACACCUAUGGCGAAGGCAGCUCUCUGGGACGGUACUGACGCUGAGACGCGAAAGCGUGGGGAGCGAACAGG